This 492-nucleotide ribosomal RNA is filed under the name uncultured bacterium. RNAcentral describes it as "partial 16S ribosomal RNA". It matches the Rfam family "Bacterial small subunit ribosomal RNA", at positions 29 to 507 of the family's 1533-position model. The record is from RNAcentral.
AGUGAACGCUGGCGGUAGGCCUAACACAUGCAAGUCGAACGGCAGCACAGUAAGAGCUUGCUCUUACGGGUGGCGAGUGGCGGACGGGUGAGGAAUACAUCGGAAUCUACUUUUUCGUGUGGGUUCACGUAGGUAAACUUACGCUAAUACCGCAUACGACCUACGGUUGAAAGCAUGGGAUCUUCGGACCUUGCGCGAUUGAAUGAGCCGAUGUCGGAUUAGCUAGUUGGCGGGGUAAAGGCCCACCAAGGCGACGAUCCGUAGCUGGUCUGAGAGGAUGAUAAGCCACACUGGAACUGAGACACGGUCCAGACUCCUACGGGAGGCAGCAGUGGGGAAUAUUGGACAAUGGGCGCAAGCCUGAUCCAGCCAGACCGCGUGGGUGAAGAAGGCCUUCGGGUUGGAAAGACCGUUUGUUGGGAAAGAAAAGCAGCAGGUUAAUACCCAGCUGUUCUGACGGUACCCAAAGAAUAAGCACCGGCUAACUCCGUG